GUUUCGAUAACUCAAAUGGUUAGAGUGAAGGUCUGAAAAACCUUAUGUAGUGGUUCAAUUCCAUUUCGAGACA
Blastocystis hominis is the source of this 73-nucleotide transfer RNA. It matches the Rfam family "tRNA". Rfam says of the family: Transfer RNA (tRNA) molecules are approximately 80 nucleotides in length. The record is from Rfam. NCBI's taxonomy places the organism in Eukaryota, Bigyra, Opalinata, Blastocystidae.